Molecule: long non-coding RNA, 1645 nt
Organism: Triticum aestivum (bread wheat)
Lineage: Eukaryota; Viridiplantae; Streptophyta; Magnoliopsida; Poales; Poaceae
Exons: 4
Source: RefSeq, a predicted model, not a curated record
CUAUGAUUUUUCUGCGUUUUCCACUUUUACCCUCGCGUCGGCACUCACUGGCCCCUCACUCGUUGCUCUAUCUUCUCCCCGUCGCCUCUCUCUUCUCGCCAACCUCGCCGGCAACCACCUCGCCCACCUCGCCGGCCACCACCUUUUCCACCUCGCCGGCCACCAUCUCUCCCCGUCGCCGCCAUCUUUCUCCCGCCUCCACUCGCACCCCACUCCACUCAUACCCCACAUCCGAGGUCAAAGCUUGGAUUUUUGCUCCGGCGGCGAGCUUCUGGGUGACGGAGGCGCUGGACCCGCGUGCGCCACCGCUUGAUCUGCGUGCACCUGCUCUGGAUCUGGCGACGGAGGCGAUGGGUGCGAUGCAGAGGCGAGCUUCUGGGCGACGGAGCGUUGUUGGUUGGCGACGACGCACUUGACACAGUUGGCCGUUGCUGCCAGGAAGAAGAAGGGCAAAGGGGAUGGCCGCCGACGCCGCGUACGCGAAGCUGGUGCUGCUCGCCUGCGACGGCGGUGGUGACGCCGUCUCGCGGGGGGGUCGCCGUCGGCCUCACCAGGCACGACAGCAGGAUGGUCCUGGUGGGCGACGAGGGCGCCCUGGCCGCGACAGCGGAGGAGGCGCGGCGCAGCGCGGCCGUCGCGGUGGUUGACUACAAGAAGGCCAUCGGCAAGAUGAGCGUCUUGAGCAAUGAGGAGCUGGUGCGGCGUUCGUGCGGGGCUGGUGCACGAGGGAGGAGCCAGCUGCACUCGCCUCUUCUUCUUCCUCGGAGGGUGCAGGACAUGUUCCUCGCCCACACGGCAGGCUAGCUCCAUGAUUCACCGAACUAUUGUACCUAAAAGCAUCGACAAAUUCUCCCAAUUCUGCAUCUGGCGAAAACUGAUAAGAAUUGGGAGCAGCGAGGAGUACCUGGCGAGGACCAGGCGGGGGAGCAGCGAGGACCGGGCGGGGGAGCAGUAAGGAUCAGGCUGGUCAGUGCGGUUGAGAGGACCAGGUUGGUGCAGCGAGGACUAGAUUGGGAGGUGCGCUGGCGGCGGCCAGGCUGGGGCGGCGGCGAUCAAAUUGGGAGCGGUGGCCACCAAACUGGGCAAGAACGACGGGGAAGAGAGUGGCGAAGGAGGAGGAGGAGGAGGUGGUGGAGGGCGGAGGAGGAGGUGGCUGGACUAGCAGCUGGAGGAGGUGGAGGGCGCAGGUGGCCUGGCGGAGGAAGACGACGACUCGUUUUCAAAUCAAGGGUGUUUUUGUACAUUUGCUCGUUUUCACCUGGUCCGAAAAACCCCCAACGACAACUAUUUCGGAACAGAGGGACUAGUUAAUUAAUCGGGAAACAGUUCAAAAGCAAGCCAUCAUGGUGCAAGCAUGCAUGCCGUGCUGCUCUGAAGCUGCAGGCAGGCGACGCGGUCAUGGGGAUGGCAGACGACGCGGCAUGGAAAUGCCAAAGCUCAUGGCGUUGCUGGACAGGGCGGAAAGCCAAAGCCUCUGGCAUUUUCAGAAACGUGAACUAGCUCGGCGUUUCCAGCCUGCCACAUUAGCGAGUGGGGCCAGGGCAGCAACGCUAGCUGGCUCGGCGUUUCUAUGUGGGAAAGAAAAGCCACGGGCUAUGACGUUGCUAAAAGGGUCAGAUUAUGAAAUAAUUUUGCUUCAAGUUCA